AACGCCGCGUGAGUGAUGAAGGCCCUCGGGUCGUAAAGCUCUGUCAGAGGGGAAGAACCUCCCAUCGGAUAAUAUCCGCUGGGCCUGACGGUACCCUCAAAGGAAGCACCGGCUAACUCCGUGCCAGCACCGGCGGUGACUGAGCGGGCUGGCAAGGCGCAUA
Molecule: ribosomal RNA, 163 nt
Filed under: uncultured bacterium
Lineage: Bacteria
Description: partial 16S ribosomal RNA
Rfam family: Bacterial small subunit ribosomal RNA
Source: RNAcentral